This 458-nucleotide unclassified non-coding RNA is filed under the name Cordycipitaceae sp. CS-2017. RNAcentral describes it as "sequence contains ITS1". The stretch from base 86 to 238 matches the Rfam family "5.8S ribosomal RNA". The record is from RNAcentral. Lineage: Eukaryota; Fungi; Ascomycota; Sordariomycetes; Hypocreales; Cordycipitaceae.
ACUGCGUGAGCGGACGAAAACAACAACACCUAAAAUGUGGAAUAUAGCAUAUAGUCGACAAGAGAAAUCUACGAAAAACAAACAAAACUUUCAACAACGGAUCUCUUGGUUCUCGCAUCGAUGAAGAGCGCAGCGAAAUGCGAUACCUAGUGUGAAUUGCAGCCAUCGUGAAUCAUCGAGUUCUUGAACGCACAUUGCGCCCCUCGGCAUUCCGGGGGGCAUGCCUGUUUGAGCGUCGUUUCCAUCUUGCGCGUGCGCAGAGUUGGGGGAGCGGAGCGGACGACGUGUAAAGAGCGUCGGAGCUGCGACUCGCCUGAAAGGGAGCGAAGCUGGCCGAGCGAACUAGACUUUUUUUCAGGGACGCUUGGCGGCCGAGAGCGAGUGUUGCGAGACAACAAAAAGCUCGACCUCAAAUCAGGUAGGAAUACCCGCUGAACUUAAGCAUAUCAAUAAGCGGA